Molecule: ribosomal RNA, 295 nt
Filed under: Alexandrium tamarense
Lineage: Eukaryota; Dinophyceae; Gonyaulacales; Pyrocystaceae
Description: partial Bacterial large subunit ribosomal RNA
Rfam family: Bacterial large subunit ribosomal RNA
Source: RNAcentral
UAAAUCAUAUACCGAAACCACGGGUCCCGCUCUGCGGGAUGGUAGGAGAGCAUAAUCAGUGCUGUGAAGCUAAACUGUAAAGGAUAGUGGAGCGCUGAUUAGUGAGAAUGCAGACAUGAGUAGCGAUAAGCCAGAUGAGAAUUCUGGCCACCGUAAACCCAAGGAUUCCUGGGCCAGGUUCGUCCUCCCAGGGUUAGUCGGGAGCUAAGGCGAGGCCGUAAGGCGUAGUCGAUGCACAGCAGUUUAAUAUUCCUGCACCGGCAAAGGUUAAGGUAAUGAUGACGUGAAUGGAAAG